Molecule: unclassified non-coding RNA, 310 nt
Filed under: Fuscoporia rufitincta
Lineage: Eukaryota; Fungi; Basidiomycota; Agaricomycetes; Hymenochaetales; Hymenochaetaceae
Description: partial contains 5.8S ribosomal RNA, internal transcribed spacer 2, and large subunit ribosomal RNA
Source: RNAcentral
CGCAUCUUGCGCUCCUUGGUAUUCCGAGGAGCAUGCCUGUUUGAGUGUCAUGAUACUCUCAACCCCCCCGGUUUUGUAAUGAGACCUUGGUCGGGCUUGGAUCCUGGAUGUUGCUGGCCUCAGGUCGGGCUCAUCUGAAAUGCAUUAGCAAUCACGCACUUGGUGUUGGUUUGACUUGACGUGGUAGUAAUUUUGCCGUCAAGGACAUCUCCUCAGAGGGGUGACCAGCCUUUGUGCCGGAAUGCUCACAGCUCCCCAUAUUCCAUCAUGAUUAGACCUCAAAUCAGGUAGGACUACCCGCUGAACUUAA